CCCUUAGAGUUUGAUCCUGGCUCAGGAUGAACGCUGGCGGCGUGCUUAACACAUGCAAGUCGAACGAAGCGCUUAAGAUUGAUUCUUCGGAUGACGUCUUUUGCGACUUAGUGGCGGACGGGUGAGUAACGCGUGGGUAACCUGCCUCACACAGGGGGAUAACAGUUAGAAAUGACUGCUAAUACCGCAUAACCCGAUAGGAUCGCAUGAUCCAGACGGAAAAGAUUUAUCGGUGUGAGAUGGACCCGCGUCUGAUUAGCUAGUUGGUGAGGUAACGGCCCACCAAGGCGACGAUCAGUAGCCGGCCUGAGAGGGUGAACGGCCACAUUGGGACUGAGACACGGCCCAAACUCCUACGGGAGGCAGCAGUGGGGAAUAUUGCACAAUGGGGGAAACCCUGAUGCAGCGACGCCGCGUGAGUGAAGAAGUAUUUCGGUAUGUAAAGCUCUAUCAGCAGGGAAGA
This 463-nucleotide ribosomal RNA is filed under the name uncultured bacterium. RNAcentral's name for it is "bacterial SSU rRNA". It matches the Rfam family "Bacterial small subunit ribosomal RNA", at positions 1 to 448 of the family's 1533-position model. The record is from RNAcentral.